AAUAUUGGUCAAUGGAGGCAACUCUGAACCAGCCAUGCCGCGUGCAGGAUGACGGUCCUAUGGAUUGUAAACUGCUUUUGUACAGGAAGAAAAAGAGUUACGUGUAGCUUAUUGACGGUACUGUAAGAAUAAGGAUCGUCUAACUCCGUUCCAGCAGCCGCGGUAAUACGGAGGAUCCAAGCGUUAUCCGGAAUCAUUGGGUUUAAAGGGUCCGUAGGCGGGCAUAUAAGUCAGAGGUGAAAUCCGACAGCUUAACUGUCGAACUGCCUUUGAAACUGUAUGUCUUGAGUGAGAUUGAAGCAGCUGGAAUGUGUAGUGUAGCGGUGAAAUGCAUAGAUAUUACACAGAACACCGAUAGCGUAGGCAGGUUGCUAAGUCUUUACUGACGCUGAUGGACGAAAGCGUGGGGAGCAAACA
RNAcentral lists this ribosomal RNA (417 nucleotides) under uncultured bacterium. Its description in RNAcentral is "partial 16S ribosomal RNA". It matches the Rfam family "Bacterial small subunit ribosomal RNA", at positions 360 to 774 of the family's 1533-position model. The record is from RNAcentral.